GGCGCGGCUGAGACUGAGAGUCACCCGUAGCUGCGUAGGUCGAUCCUGCAUGUAUUUUUUGAGGUAUCCCCACCUUAUCAGAUCUUCGAUCUCGUUCUUCAGCUUGAUGCACCUCUCAAUGUCAUGGUUGUAGUCAUGAUGAAAUCGACAGUAGGGCCUCCAGUUAUGGAAUGUUGUUCUUGUCUUUAUCGGCUAGGAUCAUUGAAGGUAGUCCUCCC
RNAcentral lists this long non-coding RNA (218 nucleotides) under Elaeis guineensis (African oil palm). RNAcentral's name for it is "long non-coding RNA (EGUI_LNC022222)". The record is from RNAcentral. Lineage: Eukaryota; Viridiplantae; Streptophyta; Magnoliopsida; Arecales; Arecaceae.